AACGUAGGUGGCAAGCGUUAUCCGGAUUUACUGGGCGUAAAGCGUGCGCAGGCGGUUCGUUGUGUCCGUCGUGAAAGCCCCGGGCUUAACCUGGGAACUGCGAUGGAAACUAGCGAGCUGGAGUGUGGCAGAGGGGGGUGGAAUUCCGCGUGUAGCAGUGAAAUGCGUAGAGAUGCGGAGGAACACCGAUGGCGAAGGCAGCCCCCUGGGCUAACACUGACGCUCAGGCACGAAAGCGUGGGGAGCAAACAGG
This 253-nucleotide ribosomal RNA is filed under the name uncultured bacterium. RNAcentral describes it as "partial 16S ribosomal RNA". It matches the Rfam family "Bacterial small subunit ribosomal RNA", at positions 524 to 776 of the family's 1533-position model. The record is from RNAcentral.